Molecule: long non-coding RNA, 234 nt
Filed under: Lathyrus oleraceus (garden pea)
Lineage: Eukaryota; Viridiplantae; Streptophyta; Magnoliopsida; Fabales; Fabaceae
Description: Pisum sativum (pea) long non-coding RNA (PSAT_LNC006880)
Source: RNAcentral
GAAACUUCUUUAUUGUGUGAAGUGUUAAUACUCCAUGGUCUUAACCAUAUUCUCAUUCCAAUAUUAGAUUAACAUUUAAACUUGCUCCUACUUGAUUCAUCAUAUAUACCGCUCUACAUCAGUUGGUCACUUUCCUCCCAGAAACCACGACUUCCCUUCCUUGCACUAAGUUACAUAAAACAUAAUUACAACACCUUGUCUUGAUUUGGAUAAUCAAUACUCGUUAACUCUUCA